CAUGAACAGUCUCCUACAUUCACUGUUUGUUUCUGCAAAGGAUGGCCUUUCAAAGGCCAGCUCGGAUUGUUUGGAAACUGUGUUGUACAAUGCAAAACUUCUGCGAGUGUUGGACUUAGAAAAUACAAAACUUAAGACCUUGCCUGAUGAAGUAGGGAAAUUGGUGAACCUAAGGUAUCUGGGUGUGAGGCAUUCCCAAAUAAAUGAGCUUCCUGAGAGCAUCAGAAAUCUUCGGAACCUACAAACCUUGGAUAUCUCCUGCUCUGGGAAUGAAUUUGAGCUGUCAAACGGAGUUUUGAAUCUUGCACAACUGAGGCACCUGAAGAUGUGCCGUACUGUGAAUAAUGGUGAGGUUAGAGUUCCACGAGGUAUCUCAAGACUCAGAAACCUCCAGACUCUAGAAGGUAUAUACGCAGGUGGUGGCAUUGCCAAGGAGUUAGGCAACAUGACACAACUCAGAUCACUCGACGUGAGAAGUGUAUCAGAUGAUCAUGCAGAUGAGCUAUAUGCUUCUGUCACGAAGUUAACUGGGCUUAGGAACUUGUCUCUUACUGCAGAGUGGAAUGGGAUCGCAUACGACUCCAGCAGCCCACUUCCGUAUGAGAAUUCGCUUUUCCCCUGCUUAGAAUCCUUCUCACCUCCGCCACUACUUGAAACACUUGAGCUAAAAGGGUGUUUAACAGAGAUGCCGCUUUGGCUUGGCUCAAUGGAGAACCUCACUCGGUUAGUUAUGGCCUCCUCCCAUUUGUCUGAGAACCCAACUACGAUUUUGCAGUUCCUUCCCAACUUGAAAUAUCUUUCAAUGUUCCAUGCUUACAAAGGAAAGCGUAUGGAAAGAGAGUUCUUCAGAGCUGGCGGUUUCCCAAAAUUGGAGUAUCUCAAAAUUGUUUCUCGUAAUCUGGUGGAAUGGACAGAGAUGGAAGAGGGAGCAUUGCCUUGCUUAAAACAACUCUAUUUUUGGAACUGCAUGAGACUGAUGGGUCUUCCUGAAGGAUUGCAACAUGUGGCCACACUCCAAAAAUUGGUUUUGUUUAAUGUGCAUGGAGAUCUUACUCGGAGGUUGAACCCCAAUGGAGGUCCACAGAAUUAUAAGAUAAAGCACAUCCCACUGGUAGAAUCUUAUGUGCACUUGUGUGGCUGGAUGGUUUGGAAGACAUAGCCUCACCAGAAUAUCCUCAACGUAUAAUGAUGAUUGUUUUAAGAACACUCCUCCUCCCAUCUACCCCCCCAGUAUAUACAUACCAAUGGCAAAUGGCCCAAGUUUGUAUCUUUCAUGAGGUUAAACAGCUUCUCAUGAAAAAUGGAAGAUUUUAUUCGAAUUUUCUUGCAUAUCAAUUAAUCCAAUCAGGAAUAUUAGAAAGAUCCACCAACACAAUGAAUACCAGAUAUAGGUGGAAAAAAAUCGCCUACAUAAUCUUUCAAAAACUCUGCCUGUAGAGAAAAGUCACUAAAUGUGACAAGAAUGUACACAAAUUUACUUAAUUUUAAUAAGGGGAGACCUUCAAUUCCAAGCUCGUGAUUCAUUUUUGGUAAGGAAGGCCUUCAUAUCAAUGUUCGUUGUUCCUUCCACAGAUCAAAAAUCCAUUGAUGCAGAAGAAAUUACAGAUAGUUUUUUUUCUUCUUGUCUUAACCUCAAGGACUAAGACAGACAUCCAAUCUUUAUGGAAAUUUCUCAGUGCUACAGGCCCCAUAGCAACUAAUCAAGGCUUGAUAUUGAGUCUAAUUGUACUUGUACGAUACUUCCAUGUCCAGUUUGAUAGCCGAUAAAAGCAAGAACAAAAUAAAAAUAUAGGAAUUACAUAAUAAAACUAAAUAAAAAAAGAAAAAUGAAAGUUUGGGAUUUGUAUGAGAGUGUACGCUAGGAUGGUGGCAUAUGCGCCUGUCAUGAAGCUAAUGGGUCUCUGCAACUUGUCUCUUAGGGUGAAAUCAUAUUUGUUGGAGGAUUCACUUAUCCCCUCCUCAAUUAAAAUCAUUUUCUUCUCCCCCUCUGCUUCAAACGAUAAAGCUAGAAGGGGCUGUAAAUACAAAUAAAUAAAAUGCAGCAUGUGGACAAGGCUGUAACUAAAAAAUUUGUGAAGCUAGAUUUUUGGAUUUUACUUGAAGUGGCUCUGCCCCUUUUAACAUCCCAACUUCACAUGUAGAGUUAGUUACUCUUGACCGGCUUUUAGUUUAUUAGCUUCUAUUACUGUAUAUAAUUGCUGAAGGAAUUGAAAUUUUCUUGACUGAUGUAUUGAUCAAAACAUUGCUAAUCAACGAAGGCCCUGAAUAGCAGAGAUCAAAUUUGAUGGCUGUAGCAAUUAUGAGUAUUGAUCAAAACAACGUUGAAAAUUUCAUUAACAACUUUGUUAUAUUCAGUAAACCCAAGAGGAAAUUUUUUUGUCCAAGUUUCAAAGUUGGCUGCUCUUGGUGGGUCUAAUGGGGCAAUAUUUCUGGCGUGUUUAGGUACAGAAGAGUGACAUGUAUCAAUUGCUCUUGUUUUCUUUGUUGAGGGGUGAAUAAGGCGUGAAUCGGUCAAGAUUUGGAACUUUCAAAAUGAUCAGAACCACACCUUUUAGUACCCUAAACUCAUCCGGAGAUGUUCCAUUAUUCAAGUUGGUAAAGUUGGUUGAAAAAUGAAUAUACAAGGCAUUGAAUACUGGGGGCACAGAGGGGUGACUUUGACUAAUGAUCUAACUUGGGCAGGUUGGAAGCUUCGCAUGGGACGCACAAUUCCAUGUGGGAGAAGAUGUCCAUGAAGCAGAGGAUUAUAAAGGGGAUCAGAACCAGUUGACUGCUGAAUUCGGGGAGUGAAUUGGACCCUUAACCAGUUCCUGUCAUGAAAUUUUCUCUUCCACGGAUCAACACUCAGGUUUUUUUAUUGUUCCCGGCAAACUCACCAAACCAAGCGCCAGGUAUGUUGGGCUUAUUUUGAUUGGUAUUUUAGUUUUUGAGAAGUUAAAAAGAAAUUCAGGUAAUCCACGACCAAGGUUUGAGUAUAUCGGAAAAAAUCUCGGUUUUGGGUUUUUUUUUUUUCAUCAGGAAUUUUAAGCUCAAUGGUGGGCUGCAGCUACAUUUUAAAGCUAAAUAGAAAAAUAAUUCAAACAUGCAUGUGGAAGGCGCUUCGAAUAGGUGAGCUUGAGCAAUGAAAGGACAGCCUCUUACUAUUGGACCAAAUGUGCUUUGUUGCUAUAACUGUGUUUAAUAUUGCGAAAAUGUACUACCCAAAGAGCCCUUUUUGGGUUUUAUUUUCUUCUAUAUUUUCUAAACAAAGCAUAUUUACAUGAUUUCCCAUACUUAUAUAUAUUUUUUCAAUAAAACAACUUUAAAAUAUUUAUUAUGGUUUCUUAGAAUUUUUUUUUAAUAUUUCCAUGAGUUUGGAUUCAUCCAUCGACAUUUUAUAAAAUACUCAUGAAUAUUUUUUUACAUAUUUAGAUAUAUCUAUAAAAUCAAGUUAUCAAUUUAUCUGUCAAAACCGAUAUUUUCACCCUUAUCCACCACCGCUAAAUAUUUUUGAGUCAAGUUGUAUAUAUAAAAUCCUGGAAUGGAAGAAUUGAGAUUUCCGGCACUUGCUAUUCGGUUGCUCCUGUUUUCUUUGUUAAAUUUUGUAUCAUAACUUGGUUCUCGGAAUUUCAGUUACAUUUGAUUUGAAAAUUAAUACUUUUUGCUUGAAAUUAGGCCCAAGGUCAUCCACACCAGGCAAGUUGGUACUUGAUACUUUCUUUUCAAUCUGCUCCAGUUGGUUGGGAAUUGAAUCUACAGAGCAAUAGAAACCCAGUACAUGCAAGGGUGAAUUUUGACUUGAGACCGAGGAAGAAGCAGUUUCCGAAUUAGUAGAAGAGAGAGAGAGCUCAACUGUUCUUUUCUUUUGGUUGGCGGCCGCAUUCUCAUGAAAUGGCUAAGUCUUUUGUGACAUUAUUCCAAUGGAGGCUGAACUCUGUUCUACUGCAAGAGAAUGAAAUUCUUUUGGCUGUGAAGGAUCAAAUCCUGUCACUCGUUAACAAACUUGAUGAGGUUGGAAGCUUUCUGGGACAUCCUGUUUUUUGGACGCUGCAUGCUCGUGAAAUGGCUGAGUCUUUUCUGAAACUAUUCGAACCAAAGCUGAAAAAGAAAGGAAAUGAUCAAAUGGUGUCACUCAUUAGGCAACUGGAUGAGGUUACCAGAGUUGCAGGAGAUGUGGAGAGAAUCAGGGCAUGCUGCCAAACUUGGGUGAGUGAGUUAAGGGUAAUGCUCCAUGAGGCAGAGGAUUACGUUGACAAUUUCAUAAUUAAGCUGUAUGGGCAUACCGGGCAGGAUCAGAAAGAGUCGAUUGCUGAAUUUGGAAGUGAACUUGAGAAUAUCAACACGCGAGUCUCACAAAUCAUGAACAGAAGGCCUCAACUUGGGGCCUCCCCUAUCUUAGAAGAGAUUCAACAAUUCCUCAGAUCAAGGUUUUCUUUUGAUGAAGAUGAUGAGGAAACUGCUCUGGCCUCUUGCAUGUUAAAUUACAUAAAUCUACCCUAUGACCUUAAACUCUCUUUGCUAUUCUGCCGUGCCUUUCCUGGUUACUAUCGAAAAACAAAAGGUGCAUUAGUUCGAGUUCUGGUAGCAGCAGGUUUAAUACAAGAAAAACCUGGAGAACUGAUGGAGGAAACAGCCCGGGAAAAUAUAGAAAAGUUGGUGGACCUAGGAAUGCUUGAAGAAGAUCAAUCUGAGUGGGAUUGUUUUAGAGUUCCGAGUCCAUACUAUGAGUUAUCUCUGAGUGUAACAGCUCGUCAUGUAUCAAUUCAUGACGCAGAAAACACCAUCACCAACAUGAACAGUCUCCUACAUUCACUGUUUGUUUCUGCAAAGGAUGGCCUUUCAAAGGCCAGCUCAGAUUGUUUGGAAACUGUGUUGUACAAUGCAAAACGUGUGCAAGUGUUGGACUUAGAAAAUACACAACUCAAGAGCUUGCCUGAUGAAGUAGGGAAAUCGGUGAACCUAAGGUAUCUGGGUGUGAGGCAUUCCGAAAUAAAUGAGCUUCCUGAGAGCAUCAGCAAUCUUCGGAACCUACAAACCUUGGAUAUCUCCUGGUCUGGGGAUGAAUUUGAGCUGUCAAAUGGAGUUUUGAAUCUUGCACAACUGAGGCACCUGAAGGUGUUCCGGCCUGUGAAUGAUGGUGAGGUUAGAGUUCCACGAGGUAUCUCAAGACUCAGAAACCUCCAGACUCUAGAAGGUAUAUACGCAGGUGGUGGCAUUGCCAAGGAGUUAGGCAACAUGACACAACUCAGAUCACUCGAAGUGAGAUGUCUUUCAGAUGAUCAUGCAGAUGAGCUAUAUGCUUCUGCCACAAAGUUAACUGGGCUUAGGAACUUGUCUCUUACUGUUGAGGGGAAUGGGAUUGCAUACGACUCCAGUGACUCAGAUGAUAAUGAAUAUUCAGUUUUCCCCUGCUUGGAGACAUUCUCACCUCCGCCACUACUUGAAACACUUGAGCUAGUAGGGUGUUUAACAGAGAUGCCUCUUUGGCUUGGCUCAAUGGAGAACCUCACCAAGUUAUAUCUGUGCUACUCUCAUCUUUCUGAGAACCCAACUACAAUUUUGCAAUUCCUUCCCAAUCUGAAAUAUCUUCUAAUGGGGGGUGCUUACAAAGGGAAGCGUAUGGAAAUAGAGUUUUUCAGAGCUGGAGGAUUCCCUAAAUUGGAGUAUCUCACCAUUGCUUCUGAUGAUCUAGUGGAAUGGACAGAAAUUGAAGAGGGGGCACUGCCUUCCUUAAAACAACUAAGAUUUUCCAACUGCACGAGACUGAUGGUUCUGCCUGAAGGACUGCAACAUGUAACCACACUCCAAAUAUUGGAUUUGUGGAAUGUGCACGAGGAUCUUAUUCGGCGGUUGAGCCCCAAUGGAGGUCCAGAGAAUUAUAAGAUCAAACACAUUCCAGUAGUAAAAUAUCUUGGGCAAAUGAUGUCGCGGGGGUUUUGGACCCAAUGACAAAUUUUAUGAGUUUUAUCAAGUUAUAAUGAUGUUCAAGAUUCAAUCUCAUGGAGAAGUGGCUUCAAAUAAGUAUUAAAAAUAAAUCUAAAUUGUGUAUGGUUAUCUUAACUAUAUUUGAAAAAUUCUUCUGCAACUUGACUUUGAUAAGGGAGACCUUCGAUUCCAAGUCCAUGAUUCCUUAUGUACUCAAUAAUCUGUAGAUGCAAAGAAAUUGCAGUUUUUUUUAGCUUAUUCUUCUUUUAACCUAAAGGACUAAAAGUCUGUUUAGUAAUGAUUUUAGAAAGUGUUUCUAACAUUUUUAACACUUAAAAAUUUUUAUCUUUCAAGUAUUAGUAAGACUAGAAAUGCUUCUAAAAAUCCAAACAUAGGCAUCCAGUACUCCAAGAAGCAUUGCUGCACACCAGUUGCCACACCCCUGAGAGCAACUGAUCAUGGUUUUAUAAACCAUUUGAACAAGACAGAUCACAGCAAUUCCUCGACAUGAUUGCAACAGCAAACACUUCAUAAAAUAGCGUCUUCAUAUUGAGUCAAAACGGAUUGUGUUUGUAUUGUACUUGGUGGGAGGUUGAGUCCCAAUGGAUGUAGGGAUAACUAUAAGAUCAAACACAUCCCUCGAAUUCAAUUCUUUGGACUAGUAAACCCAAAUUGAUUGAACCUGGAUGAAGCUUUGGAAAACAGUUUCUCAUGGAAAAUGAAUAAACAAGGCCACAAAAAUUGAAUACAUACAAGAGUGAAUUUUGAGUUGGAUUUUCUGAGGAAGAGAAAAAAAAAAUACACAGACCUUGAGGGGUUCCACAAGCAAUGAUCUUGUAACCUCUUUCUGAUAGGCAGCUUCUUGAAUCUGUAGAAUAGAGACCCCUGAAUCUUAUUUUCCACCCUGUGAAAUGGCCAGAUCUUUGGCAGCAUCAUUCCAGUGGAAGCUGAAUUCUACUCAACUGCAAGAUAUUGAAAUUCUUUUGGAUGUGAAAGAUCGAAUAGUAUCACUCAUAAGCAAACUCGUUGAAGUUGGUAGGUUUGUGGCAGAUGCGGACAGAAUCUUUAUAGCAGAGAUGUUAGCAUAGUUGGGUGAGGGGGUUGAAGAGAAGCAUUUGUGAAGCAGAGUACUAUGUCGAUGAUUUCAUAGCUCAAGUGUAUGGCCGAAAUCAGCAGGAUCAGAAAGAGAUGAUGGCCAAAUUUAGGAGUGAACUGGAGAAUAUCAAUUCAGGCAUCAUGAACAUCAUGCAUGGAAGGUUUCAACUAUGUUAGAAAUGACAAAACAGGACAGCAGAUCGAAGUUUCAUUUGGAGGAAGGUGAGGAAAUUGUCCAUGCCUCUUCCACAUUAAAUUAUAUAAAUUUUCCUGAUGAUCUUAAAAUCUGUUUGCUCUAUUGAUGUACCUUUAUUGAGGGCCGUACAAUAGCAAAAGAAUGAUUAGUUCGGCUUUUGGUGGCUGGAGGUCUAAUACAAGAAAAACCGGGUACUUGACUGGGGACAAAGCCCAGGAAACCAUAGAAACGUUAUUUGACUUUGAAUCUUAUACAACUAAGACACCUGAAGAUGG
Molecule: long non-coding RNA, 7470 nt
Filed under: Vitis vinifera (wine grape)
Lineage: Eukaryota; Viridiplantae; Streptophyta; Magnoliopsida; Vitales; Vitaceae
Description: long non-coding RNA (VVIN_LNC004846)
Source: RNAcentral